This 897-nucleotide ribosomal RNA is filed under the name uncultured organism. Its description in RNAcentral is "SSU rRNA". It matches the Rfam family "Bacterial small subunit ribosomal RNA", at positions 505 to 1398 of the family's 1533-position model. The record is from RNAcentral.
GUGCCAGCCGCCGCGGUAAUACGUAGGGUGCGAGCGUUGUCCGGAUUUAUUGGGCGUAAAGGGCUCGUAGGUGGUUGAUCGCGCCGGAAGUGUAAUCUUGGGGCUUAACCCUGAGCGUGCUUUCGAUACGGGUUGACUUGAGGAAGGUAGGGGAGAAUGGAAUUCCUGGUGGAGCGGUGGAAUGCGCAGAUAUCAGGAGGAACACCAGUGGCGAAGGCGGUUCUCUGGGCCUUUCCUGACGCUGAGGAGCGAAAGCUUGGGGGAGCGAACAGGCUUAGAUACCCUGGUAGUCCACGCUGUAAACGGUGGGUACUAGGUGUGGGGUCCAUUCCACGGGUUCCGUGCCGUAGCUAGCGCUUUAAGUACCCCGCCUGGGGAGUACGGCCGCAAGGCUAAAAACUCAAAGGAAUUGACGGGGCCCGCACAAGCGGCGGAGCAUGCGGAUUAAUUCGAUGCAACGCGUAGAACCUUACCUGGGUUUGACAUGGAUCGGGAGUGCUCAGAGAUGGUGUGCCUCUUUUGGGUCGGUUCACAGGUGGUGCAUGGCUGUCGUCAGCUCGUGUCGUGAGAUGUUGGGUUAAGUCCCGCAACGAGCGCAACCCUUGUUCACUGUUGCCAGCACGUUAUGGUGGGGACUCAGUGGAGACCGCCGGGGUCAACUCGGAGGAAGGUGGGGAUGACGUCAAGUCAUCAUGCCCCUUAUGUCCAGGGCUUCACGCAUGCUACAAUGGCUGGUACAGAGAGUGGCGAGCCUGUGAGGGUGAGCGAAUCUCGGAAAGCCGGUCUCAGUUCGGAUUGGGGUCUGCAACUCGACCUCAUGAAGUCGGAGUCGCUAGUAAUCGCAGAUCAGCAACGCUGCGGUGAAUACGUUCCCGGGGCUUGCACUCACCGCCCGUC